Mercenaria mercenaria is the source of this 276-nucleotide long non-coding RNA. RefSeq lists it as uncharacterized. The transcript is spliced from 3 exons. Lineage: Eukaryota; Metazoa; Mollusca; Bivalvia; Venerida; Veneridae. The record is from RefSeq and is a predicted model, not a curated record.
GGUGGUAGCGAUCAAGCAUUUGAUGUGUUCCAGUCCUUAUUUGGAAAUUACAACCCAAGUAUAAUUCCCGACUGUGGUGCUCCAACACAAGUCAAAGUCGGCAUCGCAGUCAGACAAAUCUUAGAUCUGGAUGAGCCGUCACAGAUUCUGCAGUCCAAUAUCUGGGUCAGACUUUCAUGGAUGGAUUGCCGAUUGAAAUGGAAUGCAACAAGUACCGGCAUACCAAGCAUGGUUAUUCCCUACCAGCACCUCUGGAUUCCUGAUAUUACCUUAUAU